CCACUUUAUAUUUUAAUACCCCACGUGGUACUGCAGGCCCCCCACAAGAUCCAGGACUAAAGAAGAAGUUGAUCAUCUUUGUCACCUUUGAUCAUCUCUAUCUCAGAACAUUCCUCAUAGCUCUAUCCAGAGAGGACAGAGGGUGUGCUGAUUCUGUCUGCGAAAGACUGGGACAAGGAGAAAAAUAUUUGAAGAAAUAGCCAAAGUUUCCCCAAGUCUGGUGACCAACAUAAAUUACAGAUCCAAAUAAAACCCAAUAAAGUCCAAGUAGGAUGAACACAAAGAGAACUACAUCUUGGAACAUCAAAAUCAAACUCUGAAAACUAAAGAUAAGGAGACAACAAUAAAAGUAAGGGGAAGAAAACCCAGAACAAAAAACCAACAGAAAGACACAUUACCUCUUUGGACUGAAUGCUUGCGUCCCCUCCAAAAUUCAUUUGUAGAAAUCUAAUUUGCAAUGGGAUGGUAUUUGUAAGUAGAGCCUUUGGGAAGUGAUUAACCUAUGAAGGUAGAGCCUUGAUGAAUAAGUUUAGUGCUGUUAUUAAAAAACAAACAACAACAACAAACUAGUCAGUUAGCUGGCUUGUGCUCUUUCCAACAUGUAGAGAUACAAUGAGAAGUCAUCUACCCACAACCAGGAAGCAAGUGGAUACCAGAUCUGUAUGAGUCUUAACUUAGGCUCCCCAGCCUCCAAAAUUUUGAAAAUAAAUGUCUGUUGUUAAAGCCACCAGUCUGUAUUUUUUCAGCAGUCCAAACUAAGACAAUUCAUAUGGGAGAAAA
Molecule: long non-coding RNA, 780 nt
Filed under: Heterocephalus glaber (naked mole-rat)
Lineage: Eukaryota; Metazoa; Chordata; Mammalia; Rodentia; Bathyergidae
Description: lncRNA (ENSHGLG00000033910.1)
Source: RNAcentral